GCGGAGGGAUCAUUACCGAGUUUACAACUCCCAAACCCCUGUGAACAUACCUAUACGUUGCCUCGGCGGAUCAGCCCGCGCCCCGUAAAACGGGACGGCCCGCCCGAGGACCCCUAAACUCUGUUUUUAGUGGAACUUCUGAGUAAAACAAACAAAUAAAUCAAAACUUUCAACAACGGAUCUCUUGGUUCUGGCAUCGAUGAAGAACGCAGCAAAAUGCGAUAAGUAAUGUGAAUUGCAGAAUUCAGUGAAUCAUCGAAUCUUUGAACGCACAUUGCGCCCGCCAGUAUUCUGGCGGGCAUGCCUGUUCGAGCGUCAUUUCAACCCUCAAGCUCAGCUUGGUGUUGGGACUCGCGGUAACCCGCGUUCCCCAAAUCGAUUGGCGGUCACGUCGAGCUUCCAUAGCGUAGUAAUCAUACACCUCGUUACUGGUAAUCGUCGCGGCCACGCCGUUAAACCCCAACUUCUGAAUGUUGACCUCGGAUCAGGUAGGAAUACCCGCUGAACUUAAGCAUAUCAAUAAGUCGGAGGA
Molecule: ribosomal RNA, 532 nt
Filed under: Fusarium sp. BAB-5679
Lineage: Eukaryota; Fungi; Ascomycota; Sordariomycetes; Hypocreales; Nectriaceae
Description: eukaryotic LSU rRNA
Rfam family: 5.8S ribosomal RNA (bases 165-318)
Source: RNAcentral